UCCCUUUAUGGGUGUUCCCUGGGAUCCUCUGUAGUGAGGCCACAGAGACAGGGGGGUCUUUGCUCAAAAGCCUGGGGUCCCCAGCCCACUGCUUGCACAGGUUAACUGGUCCUGAUGUUAGGGUCUCCCCAAGAGGCAAGUCAGGCACCCCGGCCAUCCCCAGCCCCGGCAGGCGGCCCCGGGGCCCUUGGGGUGCUCUACUGACCAGCAACAGCUGGGGGAAGCCCCCCCCCAGGAGGGAAGACCCCUCCAGAAGAUGGGGUGUCGCCCCGGGCAGCCCAUUCCAGGGACGGGGCAAGCUCAGCCGCUCUUCCCCAGGGGUCACCGGGGUGGCAAAGGAGGCAGGCGGGUGACAGGGGAGGCGCCGGGCAGGGCCGCUCCACCCCCACCCACCUGCUCCCCGAGGCCUGCGGGGCUGCUCCCACGUCGGCCAGGGCCCCAGGCAGGAAGGCUCGGCCACGCUGGCGGUGAGAAGGUGCAGACUCGGGGCUCGGCAGGGCCACCUUUGCCCAGAGGCGGCCGGGUGCCAUGACCAGAGAGGAGACCCAGCACCCUCCAGUCCAGCGACCCGUGCCGAGGCACCGACGGCUUCGUCACCCAUCUAAAAGGGCCGCCGUCUUCCCUUCCGGUGGCCGGGCGAGGGGGAAAGCACGCAAGGUCACCCGAGGAGGGUGCUGGCUCCCGUCGCCUCCCCGGGCCGGCCCCUUGCUCCUCCUUCCAGCCCGGCAUAAACGCCCCCUCCGCCGGGAGGACUCGGCCGCCCGGGCGCCCCUCCCAGCGGGGGGUGCGGGCUGCUCAUCAGGCCUUUAUGUGCAGGGUCAUUUCAGGGGGUCCCCGGAGGC
This 842-nucleotide long non-coding RNA is filed under the name Dasypus novemcinctus (nine-banded armadillo). RNAcentral's name for it is "lncRNA (ENSDNOG00000052474.1)". The record is from RNAcentral. Lineage: Eukaryota; Metazoa; Chordata; Mammalia; Cingulata; Dasypodidae.